Non-coding RNA from Nicotiana sylvestris (wood tobacco), 96 nucleotides. NCBI's taxonomy places the organism in Eukaryota, Viridiplantae, Streptophyta, Magnoliopsida, Solanales, Solanaceae. The record is from Rfam.
UGGACAGAUUAUUGUAUUCGACUGUAUUCACGGCAUGAAAUGGGGGAUUACACUAUUUUUAAAUGGAAAGUGAAUCAAUUAACAUAAUAGACUCCU